RNAcentral lists this ribosomal RNA (482 nucleotides) under uncultured bacterium. Its description in RNAcentral is "partial 16S ribosomal RNA". It matches the Rfam family "Bacterial small subunit ribosomal RNA", at positions 28 to 523 of the family's 1533-position model. The record is from RNAcentral.
GAUGAACGCUGGCGGCGUGCUUAACACAUGCAAGUCGAACGGUGAAGCCAAGCUUGCUUGGUGGAUCAGUGGCGAACGGGUGAGUAACACGUGAGCAAUCUGCCCUUGACUCUGGGAUAAGCGCUGGAAACGGCGUCUAAUACUGGCUAUGAGCUGUAGCCGCAUGGUCGGCAGUUGGAAAGAAUUUCGGUCAAGGAUGAGCUCGCGGCCUAUCAGCUUGUUGGUGAGGUAAUGGCUCACCAAGGCGUCGACGGGUAGCCGGCCGGAGAGGGUGACCGGCCACACUGGGACUGAGACACGGCCCAGACUCCUACGGGAGGCAGCAGUGGGGAAUAUUGCACAAUGGGCGCAAGCCUGAUGCAGCAACGCCGCGUGAGGGACGACGGCCUUCGGGUUGUAAACCUCUUUUAGCAGGGAAGAAGCGAAAGUGACGGUACCUGCAGAAAAAGCACCGGCUAACUACGUGCCAGCCGCCGCAGUAA